This 283-nucleotide unclassified non-coding RNA is filed under the name Hevea brasiliensis (rubber tree). The record is from RNAcentral. Lineage: Eukaryota; Viridiplantae; Streptophyta; Magnoliopsida; Malpighiales; Euphorbiaceae.
AAGGAACUGUCGCUCUCUAUGGACAGUGGCAAACUGAACCACUGUUUCUUCCUCCUGCAGUAAAUGGCAUUGUACCUAAGAAUGAGCGAGGUCAAGUGGAUGUCUGGUCCGAGAAGUGCCUUCCACCCGGUACAGUCCAUUUGAGAUUGCCAAGGUUGGUUCCUAUUGCUAAAAGGCUGCAAAUAGAUUUUUCACCUGCUAUGGUUGGAUUUGAAUUCCGAAAUGGUCGAUCUCUACCUGUUUAUGAGGGGAUUGUGGUGUGUACCGAGUUCAAGGAUGCAAU